RNAcentral lists this ribosomal RNA (201 nucleotides) under uncultured bacterium. RNAcentral describes it as "partial 16S ribosomal RNA". It matches the Rfam family "Bacterial small subunit ribosomal RNA", at positions 328 to 539 of the family's 1533-position model. The record is from RNAcentral.
ACGCUCGACACCUACGGGAGGCAGCAGUGGGGAAUAUUGGGCAAUGGGCGCAAGCCUGACCCAGCAACGCCGCGUGAAGGAAGAAGGCUUUCGGGUUGUAAACUUCUUUUCUCAGGGACGAAGGAAGUGACGGUACCUGAGGAACAAGCCACGGCUAACUACGUGCUAGCAGCCGCGGUAAUCUGAGCGGGCUGGCAAGGC